CGCGUAGGCUGCGGGGUAAGUCGGGUGUGAAAUCUCAGAGCUCAACUCUGAAACUGCACUCGAUACUGCUUUGCUUGAGGACUGGAGAGGAGACUGGAAUUCACGGUGUGGCAGUGAAAUGCGUAGAUAUCGUGAGGAAGACCAGUGGCGAAGGCGGGUCUCUGGACAGUUCCUGAGCUGAGGCGCGAAGGCCGAGGGGAGCAAACG
Molecule: ribosomal RNA, 207 nt
Filed under: uncultured bacterium
Lineage: Bacteria
Description: partial 16S ribosomal RNA
Rfam family: Bacterial small subunit ribosomal RNA
Source: RNAcentral